This 72-nucleotide transfer RNA is filed under the name Camelus bactrianus (Bactrian camel). It matches the Rfam family "tRNA". From Rfam's summary of the family: Transfer RNA (tRNA) molecules are approximately 80 nucleotides in length. Their secondary structure includes four short double-helical elements and three loops (D, anti-codon, and T loops). The record is from Rfam by way of RNAcentral. Lineage: Eukaryota; Metazoa; Chordata; Mammalia; Artiodactyla; Camelidae. RNAcentral also lists the same sequence under 1 other name.
GAGGGUAUAGCUCAGUGGUAGAGCUCAUGCUUAGCCUGCACGAGGUCCUGGGUUCAAUCCCCAGUACCUCCA